UGGGGAUGACGUCAAAUCAUCAUGCCCCUUAUGAUUUGGGCUACACACGUGCUACAAUGGACAAUACAAAGGGCAGCGAAACCGCGAGGUCAAGCAAAUCCCAUAAAGUUGUUCUCAGUUCGGAUUGUAGUCUGCAACUCGACUACAUGAAGCUGGAAUCGCUAGUAAUCGUAGAUCAGCAUGCUACGGUGAAUACGUUCCCGGGUCUUGUACACACCGCCCGUCACACCACGAGAGUUUGUAACACCCGAAGCCGGUGGAGUAACCAUUUGGAGCUAGCCGUCGAAGGUGGGACAAAUGAUUGGGGUGAAGUCGUAACAAGGUAGCCGUAUCGGAAGGUGCGGCUGGAUCACCUCCUUU
Molecule: ribosomal RNA, 360 nt
Filed under: Staphylococcus chromogenes
Lineage: Bacteria; Bacillati; Bacillota; Bacilli; Caryophanales; Staphylococcaceae
Description: bacterial SSU rRNA
Rfam family: Bacterial small subunit ribosomal RNA
Source: RNAcentral